This 893-nucleotide ribosomal RNA is filed under the name Escherichia coli. RNAcentral describes it as "partial 23S ribosomal RNA". It matches the Rfam family "Bacterial large subunit ribosomal RNA", at positions 677 to 1570 of the family's 2925-position model. Lineage: Bacteria; Pseudomonadati; Pseudomonadota; Gammaproteobacteria; Enterobacterales; Enterobacteriaceae. The record is from RNAcentral.
CCGAGUCUUAACUGGGCGUUAAGUUGCAGGGUAUAGACCCGAAACCCGGUGAUCUAGCCAUGGGCAGGUUGAAGGUUGGGUAACACUAACUGGAGGACCGAACCGACUAAUGUUGAAAAAUUAGCGGAUGACUUGUGGCUGGGGGUGAAAGGCCAAUCAAACCGGGAGAUAGCUGGUUCUCCCCGAAAGCUAUUUAGGUAGCGCCUCGUGAAUUCAUCUCCGGGGGUAGAGCACUGUUUCGGCAAGGGGGUCAUCCCGACUUACCAACCCGAUGCAAACUGCGAAUACCGGAGAAUGUUAUCACGGGAGACACACGGCGGGUGCUAACGUCCGUCGUGAAGAGGGAAACAACCCAGACCGCCAGCUAAGGUCCCAAAGUCAUGGUUAAGUGGGAAACGAUGUGGGAAGGCCCAGACAGCCAGGAUGUUGGCUUAGAAGCAGCCAUCAUUUAAAGAAAGCGUAAUAGCUCACUGGUCGAGUCGGCCUGCGCGGAAGAUGUAACGGGGCUAAACCAUGCACCGAAGCUGCGGCAGCGACGCUUAUGCGUUGUUGGGUAGGGGAGCGUUCUGUAAGCCUGCGAAGGUGUACUGUGAGGUAUGCUGGAGGUAUCAGAAGUGCGAAUGCUGACAUAAGUAACGAUAAAGCGGGUGAAAAGCCCGCUCGCCGGAAGACCAAGGGUUCCUGUCCAACGUUAAUCGGGGCAGGGUGAGUCGACCCCUAAGGCGAGGCCGAAAGGCGUAGUCGAUGGGAAACAGGUUAAUAUUCCUGUACUUGGUGUUACUGCGAAGGGGGGACGGAGAAGGCUAUGUUGGCCGGGCGACGGUUGUCCCGGUUUAAGCGUGUAGGCUGGUUUUCCAGGCAAAUCCGGAAAAUCAAGGCUGAGGCGUGAUGAC